RNAcentral lists this ribosomal RNA (473 nucleotides) under uncultured bacterium. RNAcentral's name for it is "bacterial SSU rRNA". It matches the Rfam family "Bacterial small subunit ribosomal RNA", at positions 355 to 825 of the family's 1533-position model. The record is from RNAcentral.
UGGGGAAUAUUGCGCAAUGGGCGAAAGCCUGACGCAGCAACGCCGCGUGAGUGAUGAAGGCCUUCGGGUCGUAAAGCUCUGUCGGAGGGAACGAAUGCUCCUGAAGUUAACAGCCUCAGGAGGUGACGGUACCCUCAAAGGAAGCACCGGCUAACUCUGUGCCAGCAGCCGCGGUAAUACGUAGGGUGCAAGCGUUAAUCGGAAUUACUGGGCGUAAAGCGUGCGCAGGCGGUUGUGUAAGUCAGAUGUGAAAUCCCCGGGCUCAACCUGGGAAUUGCAUUUGAGACUGCACGGCUAGAGUGUGUCAGAGGGGGGUAGAAUUCCACGUGUAGCAGUGAAAUGCGUAGAUAUGUGGAGGAAUACCGAUGGCGAAGGCAGCCCCCUGGGAUAACACUGACGCUCAUGCACGAAAGCGUGGGGAGCAAACAGGAUUAGAUACCCCGGUAGUCCCUGAGCGGGCUGGCAAGGCGCAU